GAGGGUAUAGCUCAGUGGUAGAAUGCAUGCUUAGCAUGCAGGAAGUCCUAGGUUCAAUCCCCAGUACCAUCA
Molecule: transfer RNA, 72 nt
Filed under: Camelus bactrianus (Bactrian camel)
Lineage: Eukaryota; Metazoa; Chordata; Mammalia; Artiodactyla; Camelidae
Also listed under: 1 other name
Rfam family: tRNA
About the family: Transfer RNA (tRNA) molecules are approximately 80 nucleotides in length.
Source: Rfam by way of RNAcentral